Molecule: ribosomal RNA, 926 nt
Filed under: uncultured Bacteroidota bacterium
Lineage: Bacteria; Pseudomonadati; Bacteroidota
Description: bacterial SSU rRNA
Rfam family: Bacterial small subunit ribosomal RNA
Source: RNAcentral
UGGAUCCAGACUUUGAUUAUGGCUCAGGAUGAACGCUAGCUACGGGCUUAACACAUGCAAGUCGAGGGGAAACGAUAGAGAAAGCUUGCUUUUUCUAGGCGUCGACCGGCGCACGGGUGAGUAACGCGUAUCCAACCUGCCCACCACUUGGGAAUAACCUUGCGAAAGUAAGACUAAUACCCAAUGAUAUCUCUAGAAGACAUCUGAAAGAGAUUAAAGAUUUAUCGGUGAUGGAUGGGGAUGCGUCUGAUUAGCUUGUUGGCGGGGUAACGGCCCACCAAGGCGACGAUCAGUAGGGGUUCUGAGAGGAAGGUUCCCCACAUUGGAACUGAGACACGGUCCAAACUCCUACGGGAGGCAGCAGUGAGGAAUAUUGGUCAAUGGGCGAGAGCCUGAACCAGCCAAGUAGCGUGCAGGAUGACGGCCCUAUGGGUUGUAAACUGCUUUUAUAAGGGAAUAAAGUGAGCCUCGUGAGGCUUUUUGCAUGUACCUUAUGAAUAAGGACCGGCUAAUUCCGUGCCAGCAGCCGCGGUAAUACGGAAGGUCCGGGCGUUAUCCGGAUUUAUUGGGUUUAAAGGGAGCGUAGGCCGGAGAUUAAGCGUGUUGUGAAAUGUAGAUGCUCAACAUCUGCACUGCAGCGCGAACUGGUUUCCUUGAGUACGCACAAAGUGGGCGGAAUUCGUGGUGUAGCGGUGAAAUGCUUAGAUAUCACGAAGAACUCCGAUUGCGAAGGCAGCUCACUGGAGCGCAACUGACGCUGAAGCUCGAAAGUGCGGGUAUCGAACAGGAUUAGAUACCCUGGUAGUCCGCACGGUAAACGAUGGAUGCCCGCUGUUGGUCUGAAUAGGUCAGCGGCCAAGCGAAAGCAUUAAGCAUCCCACCUGGGGAGUACGCCGGCAACGGUGCAACUCAAAUGAAUUGACGGA